Molecule: long non-coding RNA, 3738 nt
Organism: Solenopsis invicta (red fire ant)
Lineage: Eukaryota; Metazoa; Arthropoda; Insecta; Hymenoptera; Formicidae
Exons: 2
Source: RefSeq, a predicted model, not a curated record
UCUCUCUCUCUCUCUGUAAGUAUAUUCAGAGAAGGAUGUCGCUCCAAUUCGACAAUGAGAUAAACAAAAAUGAGCAUAAAGAAACCCUGCAUGUUGAAGAGAAACGUGUAUUGGUGCACGUCAUGAUGGUCGCGUCAUCGUCGACAUGGGCGCGGCCAGAAGAAAAGCGAGCAGACAGAAAGAAAAGGAAAGGAGCGGAGAAGCGACAGUGGAGAAAGAGGGAAGCAAAUGCGAAAGGAAGAGAGGAGAAAACAUCUCUGCCUAUCGUUGCGGCUAGGAACUCGAAGAGAGGGUUGCUAGGAGAGUGAGGGAAACUGCGAAACGAAGACGAAGAGGAGAGUUUCCUGCUAACACCCGGUUUGUUGCCACUGUGCAGUGGCGCCCUCCGCUAUCCGGCAAGAACCAUGCCAUUCCUCCCACACUUUUUCCGCGGAUCUAUCUCCCAAUCGGUUGUGUCUACCAGUCGUCGACUGCGAAUGUCAGGAGACGAGACUUUGGUGCUGCCAUCGCGGCCGCCUUCGUUGUUUUCCCUGGUGAAACCGAUGUUCAUCGAACUUCGGCUCGGUGAUGUAGUAAAUUAUCUUGUCACGGAUAAUUUGAGGAUAAUACUGGGUUGAGUGUUAAUAGGCUCCGCGCACAAUCGAGGAAUGUAAGAUAUUAGAAAUUAGAACUUUAGAAUCAGUUUCCUCAAUGAAGACUAGAAAUAAAUAAUAAAUUGUGUCUUGUGCGACACACUUACGCCUUACAGCUUAUUCGUAUCCGCCGUGCGUCACGUUUAAUGUUCAUUGAGGAAAUUGGUUUUAAAAUUCUAAUUUAUUCCUAUUCCUAUUAUCUAAUAUUCCUUCAUUGUGCCUAAAGCCUACGUAGAUCUAAGUAACAAUGAUAACCACUUGAUACACAAAUAGAAUUGCGGAAAGUGUAUCAGUAUCAUUUAAAAGGAACGGAGAAACAGUAAAUUUUUGUUUUUGCUUCAUUAGACAGCUUAGAGUUCAAUUGUUACUCGAACUUGUCGUCGGCAUCUUGUUAUUAAGAAAUGAUUAUGUUGUGCAUUUAUUGAACUGUGAAAUUUGCACUGCGAUAAAUUUCUCAGGAAACUUCAGUCUCUGCUAAAAAGAAAACCAGCGUUCGGCACACGGUAUCAUUUUUUAAUAACAAGAUAUCGACGACAUGCUAGGGCACGACGACAAGAAUUGAAUUCUAAGCUGCCUAAUGAAGUAGAAACAAAAGUUUGUUGUUUUCUUUUCGUUCCUUUUGAUUUUAAACGAUACUAAUACUUUUCUCGCAAUUUUAUUUUUAUAUAUAAAGUGGGUAUCAUUAUUACUUAUCCUUAAAAAAUGAUCAUGCAAGUGGAGUCAAUUCUUUGGCUGUACAAAAUUAAUUUAAAUUAAUUUAGAUAAAUAAACAGCAAAUAUAAUAUUGCAAAUGGUUGGUACUUAACUAUUCUAAAUAACAGAUAGAAUUUGUAUAUAUAUAAUUAAUUUAAAUGGUUUAUGAAAUUUAGAAAGUUUUUCUAACGUCUAUUUAUGUUAAGGUCAACUGUAUGUAUAUGUUAUAAAAUUUGACGAUAUAAUUGGCAAUAAGAUUUAAAUUUUUUAGAAAGCAUUAUUAAAUAUUGCUGCUAUAAAUUCUAUAUGUGACAAACAAUAUUUUAACAGAUGCAGAAAAUAAAGAUAAAAUUUUGUUGUGACACCUAGAAAUCUACUUAUAUCAACAAAACGUUUUUUAAAUGUAGAUGGAUUAACAAAGAAAUGAAUUUUGAACUCCGUAAAAUAUCAAAUACUAAUUAAAAUAUAAUUUAAAUUGUAAAGGCCCACAAAAAAGUAACUUUAAAAGUAGAUGAAAAUAAAAGAAGAACUUAAUACAUUUAAUUUAACAUCCGUUUCAACUGUCUGAAUAUAUUUAUAUCAUCUUAAAUUUAAAUUGUGUUCGACUUCAACCUGUUGUAUGAACAAUAUUAUUUAUUAUUUCAAAUAAAAAGUUUUUAAAAAUUGAUAUUCCAACUGGGAAAGAAUACAAAUUUUUAUUAAAGAUAAAUCUGUCCGCCAUUUUUUGUCAAAAUUCUCCAAUUACAAACUUGCAAACAGUAAAUGGCCUGCGGCGCGUUCGCGGCGGGAUUCGCAAAAUGUGUUAGCUCGAAAUCAGCUCGGUAGCGAGGCCGGUUUUUUAAAUUAAAAUGUAUAGAAACUUUAAGCAUCGACUGCGCGCACGCCGGGGUAUAACACAUGUCGCGAUCGUCGUCCAUAUUAAUCCCAAUUAAGGCAAGGAUACCGAAGAACAGGUUAAAGGCUCCUCCUCUUCACGAAUCUACGGGGAUACGGCGAUAUAAUAAAAUCGUAAAAUGACGGUACUGACCGUGUGCUUGGCGAUAUUAUCCGGUCGCGAUGGUAAGGGAGCCGGCCAUGAGGGAGAUGGUCCUCCACACGUGAAGCAUAAAAUACCCAGUUAAAUGCGCCGAACGAAUACGAAAAAAUCUAAUAUGAAAAACCCCGUACCACUUAGGAAAGACGACGAGUUCGAGUUUAUGCCGCGGACGCCGGCCGACCAAUCGGAGCAUGGGGAUUUUGCGGGACGAGUAAAUAAAUUGGACGGGUCGCGGCGAGCUUCCUGGAAUCCGGGAGACAUCUUUUGUGUGUAUGCUCUCGAAACGUAGCAGAAGGAUCUACGUAACGAACAAUGUUGCAUAGAAUGCGGAAAAGUUUCUAAAAUGGGACAAGCGUUCCAAACAUAAAAUUAUUAACAUGUGUAUUCUGUCGAAAGACUAUACAAGAUAAUAAAUAACUACCCGAGAGACCGUAAAGUUUUUCUAUUUCGGAUGAUCUUAAAGAUGUAUCUUUUGAAAAGAAGUGAAGCGAGAGAGCCGAUUAUUGCCGAUUUCGUUCACACAUAGCUACAAAGUGAGGACGAAGACGAAGAGAACAAGAAGAACGAGAAUCGCGAGGCGGUAUGUGGUAGGAGAAUGAAGUUCCACAUUUCAGCGGCAGUCAACAUGGUGGCCGUGACGAGGACGAUUCUUGCUCCGGCAAGAGAAGCCAAUGGACAACGACGGUCUCGUCCCACCCCAUAAUGCCCCAUAUACUUGGCAAUUUAUGCGCCGAAACGUAUUAAAUAGCUUUCUGCCCCCACUAUAAUGCGCGAUCCUCUCGACGGCGCGCAGGCGUCCCCAUAGCUACGGCGCGGUAUAACUAUAUAUUAAAGCCAAUAUUUUUAAAUGCGAUACACCUACAUUGUAAAUACCGGUGUUUUGUACGACCCUUUCUAAGAAUAGACCCACUUGCGACAUUCGGCCGCGCUGAGAACCGCGCGGAGGCGAUCAUACGCGCUAUAUGGCGGGAAAGAGGAUUUUAGUCUUUGUUUUGUCGAAAGCUUCGAGCUUCGUGAUGUCUUAAGACCUGGCGAAGACAGCUAAGAAUGUUGCGAGGUGUAUUUUAGGGAAGCAUAAACGGCUAAUCGAUAAACCGAGUAAUGAUCGCGCUCUCGACCGUAAAUCCCGGAUAAUAUACAUGCAAAUGCCGUGCAAUAUGGGAAUUUAAAGGGCUAACCAAUUCUUCUUUUCAUUAAACCUUCCGUCUCACGCCAAUCACGCAAAGGCAGGUGUCAACGAAAAUUCAUUAAAUUCUUUAUCUUCGUUACGCUUCACCCGGAGGCAUAUUUUUCUAUUUAAUUAGUCAACGUCAGCGAGACAAAUUUAUUUCCUAUUUAUAAAGUUAUCAAAUAAACGACAUCGUAAUUUAUACUUUA